This 593-nucleotide ribosomal RNA is filed under the name Colletotrichum horii. Its description in RNAcentral is "eukaryotic LSU rRNA". The stretch from base 231 to 384 matches the Rfam family "5.8S ribosomal RNA". The record is from RNAcentral. Lineage: Eukaryota; Fungi; Ascomycota; Sordariomycetes; Glomerellales; Glomerellaceae.
UAGAGGAAGUAAAAGUCGUAACAAGGUCUCCGUUGGUGAACCAGCGGAGGGAUCAUUACUGAGUUUACGCUCUACAACCCUUUGUGAACAUACCUAUAACUGUUGCUUCGGCGGGCAGGGUCUCCGUGACCCUCCCGGCCUCCCGCCCCCGGGCGGGUCGGCGCCCGCCGGAGGAUAACCAAACUCUGAUUUAACGACGUUUCUUCUGAGUGGUACAAGCAAAUAAUCAAAACUUUUAACAACGGAUCUCUUGGUUCUGGCAUCGAUGAAGAACGCAGCGAAAUGCGAUAAGUAAUGUGAAUUGCAGAAUUCAGUGAAUCAUCGAAUCUUUGAACGCACAUUGCGCCCGCCAGCAUUCUGGCGGGCAUGCCUGUUCGAGCGUCAUUUCAACCCUCAAGCUCUGCUUGGUGUUGGGGCCCUACAGCCGAUGUAGGCCCUCAAAGGUAGUGGCGGACCCUCCCGGAGCCUCCUUUGCGUAGUAACUUUACGUCUCGCACUGGGAUCCGGAGGGACUCUUGCCGUAAAACCCCCAAUUCUCCAAAGGUUGACCUCGGAUCAGGUAGGAAUACCCGCUGAACUUAAGCAUAUCAAUA